GGCUGUAGCUCAGUGGUAGAGCGCCCACCUCAUACGUGAGGCACUGGGUUCGAUCCUCAGCACCA
RNAcentral lists this transfer RNA (65 nucleotides) under Marmota monax (woodchuck). RNAcentral describes it as "tRNA.Met". Lineage: Eukaryota; Metazoa; Chordata; Mammalia; Rodentia; Sciuridae. The record is from RNAcentral.